This 76-nucleotide transfer RNA is filed under the name Acidobacteriota bacterium. Its description in RNAcentral is "tRNA-Gly". It matches the Rfam family "tRNA". From Rfam's summary of the family: Transfer RNA (tRNA) molecules are approximately 80 nucleotides in length. The record is from RNAcentral. Lineage: Bacteria; Pseudomonadati; Acidobacteriota.
GCGGGCGUAGCUCAGUUGGUAGAGCAUCAGCUUCCCAAGCUGAGGGUCGUGGGUUCGAAACCCAUCGCCCGCUCCA